CCCUUAGAUGUUCUGGGCCGCACGCGUGCUACACUGAGUGGAUCAGCGGGUCAGGUUGCGCGAAAGUGUUUCCUAAUCUUGAAAUCCGCUCGUGAUGGGGAUUGACGGUUGCAAUUUUCCGUCAUGAACGAGGAAUACCUUGUAAGCGCGGGUCAUCAUCCCGCGCUGAAUACGUCCCUGCCCUUUGUACACACCGCCCGUCGCUCCUACCGAUUGAGUGGUCCGGUGAGGCUUUGGGAUCUGAGCAAAGAGAGCGUUUCGCUCGUUUUGCCGGAAAACUCAGUCGAACCUUAUCAUUUAGAGGAAGGAGAAGUCGUAACA
RNAcentral lists this ribosomal RNA (321 nucleotides) under uncultured eukaryote. RNAcentral's name for it is "partial 18S ribosomal RNA". It matches the Rfam family "Eukaryotic small subunit ribosomal RNA", at positions 1470 to 1796 of the family's 1831-position model. The record is from RNAcentral.